This 355-nucleotide ribosomal RNA is filed under the name uncultured bacterium. RNAcentral describes it as "bacterial SSU rRNA". It matches the Rfam family "Bacterial small subunit ribosomal RNA", at positions 8 to 350 of the family's 1533-position model. The record is from RNAcentral.
AGAGUUUGAUCCUGGCUCAGGAUGAACGCUAGCUACAGGCUUAACACAUGCAAGUCGAGGGGCAGCAUUUUAGUUUGCUUGCAAACUAAAGAUGGCGACCGGCGCACGGGUGAGUAACACGUAUCCAACCUGCCGAUAACUCGGGGAUAGCCUUUCGAAAGAAAGAUUAAUAUCCGAUGGUAUAUUUUCUCCGCAUGGUGAGAAUAUUAAAGAAUUUCGGUUAUCGAUGGGGAUGCGUUCCAUUAGUUUGUUGGCGGGGUAACGGCCCACCAAGACCACGAUGGGAUAGGGGUUCUGAGAGGAACGGUCCCCCANAUUGGAACUGAGACACGGUCCAAACUCCGUACGGGAGGCA